Molecule: ribosomal RNA, 873 nt
Filed under: uncultured bacterium
Lineage: Bacteria
Description: bacterial SSU rRNA
Rfam family: Bacterial small subunit ribosomal RNA
Source: RNAcentral
GGCUCAGAACGAACGCUGGCGGCGUGCCUAACACAUGCAAGUCGAGCGAGAAAGUCCCCGCAAGGGGAUGAGUAAAGCGGCGAACGGGUGAGUAACACGUGGGCAACCUGCCCUUCAGUCAGGAAUAACCCCGCGAAAGCGGGGCUAAUACCGGAUUACGUCCUUUGGGGGCAUCCUUGGAGGACCAAAGGGGGCGAGCGCAAGCGGCUCCCGCUGAAGGAUGGGCCUGCGGCUGAUUAGCUAGUUGGUGGGGUAGCGGCCUACCAAGGCGACGAUCAGUAGCCGACCUGAGAGGGUGACCGGCCACACUGGGACUGAGACACGGCCCAGACUCCUACGGGAGGCAGCAGUGGGGAAUAUUGCGCAAUGGGCGAAAGCCUGACGCAGCGACGCCGCGUGGGUGAUGAAGGCCUUCGGGUCGUAAAACCCUGUCGGGUGGAACGAAUCUCCACCUCGCUAAUACCGAGGUGGCUUGACGGUACCACCGAAGGAAGCCCCGGCUAACUACGUGCCAGCAGCCGCGGUAAUACGUAGGGGGCGAGCGUUGUUCGGAUUUACUGGGCGUAAAGAGCGCGUAGGCGGUUCGAUUAGUCGGAGGUGAAAUCCCUCGGCUUAACCGAGGACCCGCGUCCGAUACUGUCGAACUUGAGUGCAGGAGAGGAGAGCGGAAUUCCCAGUGUAGCGGUGAAAUGCGUAGAUAUUGGGAGGAACACCGGUGGCGAAGGCGGCUCACUGGACUGUCACUGACGCUGAGGCGCGAAAGCUAGGGGAGCAAACGGGAUUAGAUACCCCGGUAGUCCUAGCCGUAAACGAUGGGCACUAGGUGUGGGAGGUAUCGACCCCUUCCGUGCCGCAGCUAACGCAUUAAGUGCC